UCCCUGGUGGUCUACUGGUUAGGAUAUAGCACUUUCACUGCUGCAGCCUGGGUUCAGUCCCUGGUCUGGGAA
Molecule: transfer RNA, 72 nt
Filed under: Sus scrofa (pig)
Lineage: Eukaryota; Metazoa; Chordata; Mammalia; Artiodactyla; Suidae
Rfam family: tRNA
About the family: Transfer RNA (tRNA) molecules are approximately 80 nucleotides in length.
Source: Rfam by way of RNAcentral